AUUAAUAGUAUCGGUUCCUCGUAACGGUUCUAUCGGAGCCGCAUCGUUGGGCGCUCAGCGUGAUGCGCCUGUAGAGCGAAAAGCGCCCUCUGUUCGCUCGGAUGACAGACCACUUGCGACUCAAGGAGACAUGCUCAACAGUAUUAAGUUUCAAAGAAGACUGCGGGAAAAUAUAACUUUAGAAAGACAUGGCAAUAAAUCAAAUGAUAAAGCUAG
This 216-nucleotide unclassified non-coding RNA is filed under the name Melitaea cinxia (Glanville fritillary). Its description in RNAcentral is "misc RNA ENSMCXG00005009564.1". Lineage: Eukaryota; Metazoa; Arthropoda; Insecta; Lepidoptera; Nymphalidae. The record is from RNAcentral.